UACGUAGGGGGCUAGCGUUGUCCGGAAUCAUUGGGCGUAAAGAGCGUGUAGGCGGCCCGGUAAGUCCGCUGUGAAAGUCGGGGGCUCAACCCUCGAAUGCCGGUGGAUACUGUCGGGCUAGAGUGCGGAAGAGGCGAGUGGAAUUCCUGGUGUAGCGGUGAAAUGCGCAGAUAUCGGGAGGAACACCUAUGGCGAAGGCAGCUCGCUGGGACGUUACUGACGCUGAGACGCGAAAGCGUGGGGAGCAAACAGG
This 253-nucleotide ribosomal RNA is filed under the name uncultured bacterium. RNAcentral's name for it is "partial 16S ribosomal RNA". It matches the Rfam family "Bacterial small subunit ribosomal RNA", at positions 524 to 776 of the family's 1533-position model. The record is from RNAcentral.